AAGUAAUGGGAUGUUUGCAAACAUACGUACUUCUGUGAUGUGUGUAUGUACAUACAUACACAUACACAUAGACAUACACAUAUGUAUACACACAUAUCCAUCUACUCUAGAUCUAUGCAUAUGGAACAGAAAAAAAAUGAUUUGUGUUUAUAUGGUUUCCAAUGCAAUUCUUUCUAUUUAUCUCCUUGAAAUUAAACAUAUUUUUGAUAAAUCAUUUUUAAAUCCUACUCAAAAAAUGAAGUAAUCCUAAGUGAGAGGUUUGGAAGGAUACAUUGUUAUUUAAGUAUAUGACCUAUGUGGUGAGUCUUAAGGUUCUAUACCUUUCUCAUGGUGUUAACUGGAGAGCAAGGGGCUAGACUCCCCUGGUACCAAGCACUGAUGCAAGAAACAUAAUGUGACUACACAGUGAAGCAAAUAAAAUUAGUAGGAUUUAGUGAUUUAUUGUGUUGUAGACUGACAAGCUAAUUGAGAAUUUUAUAUUUUCUACCAUUGUUUUGCAGUCACAAAAAAUUAGCCUCCAUGCCUCUUUAUCUUCAUUUAAGUUUGGAAUAUAUUGUCCCAAUAAUUAUAUUAGGUUCCCUUCUCUAUCAUGUAUCUUAUACAUGUUGAACAGUUUCUAUGUAUUACCCUUCUUCCCCAACAACAGUGCAAAGUCUUACUAUUACUUUAUCUUAAGUGAACAAAGUGAAUUUAUUAUAAAAGGAAUUUUAAAGGAGGUUCAAAAUGUCAUUUUUAGAGUAUUUAUUUGUUCAAGAGUUUAUUACACAUUUGACUUAAUAGGUUGCCAGGGCUCAUGCUUGGCACCAAGAAUAUAAAAGGCAAGACCAAAACAGACCUUGUCCUCCAGGACCAUUCCUAUUAUUGGCGGUUGGCCAUUUCUGUUUAUGUUUAGCCCAGCAUAUAAGGUUCUAGAAUAAAAUUUACAUUGUGAAUGCAAUGGAAACCAAUGGAAAAUUUCCUAAAGGAGAAGAGAUUUCUAUAACUCACCACAACUUUAGCAAGUGACUUUUAAACGAACAUUAACUGACUUGAUCUUCCACUGUCAAAGCAUCAUUAAUUGAAUGAAAACUCAAUUAGGUACUAUACUCAUGGUAAAUGGACGAACCAGAAUUUGAAGGCUUAAAGGUAGUUGAAAGAUAUGACCACUGUUCAGGUCAUUGCUUUGAGGUCCUGAAGAAUUAAAAUGUAGUGCUUCCUUAUGCUAAAGGAUCAUUUUUUCAUCUUUAACAACAAAACUGUAUGAUUUUUUGGUUCUAUUUGAUAUCCAGAUAUGCCAUAUAAACUUUUCUAUGGCAGACCUGACUACUUUAUAAAUAGUAGGAAAUGCCAUAGGUUUGUGUACUUAAUAACUAAUUUGAAAUGAGAAAAUAGGCAAGAUUAUUUUAGAAUCAUUAAUAUGUUGGUUGCUAGUCCUCAAUCAUGUAAAAGUACUGUCCAAAGUCAUGUCAAUUCAUUGCACAAUAAAAUCACUGUGAUUUGUAUAUAAACCCUAGUGAAAUGUUACUGCUGUUUAAUUUAUAUAAUGCCUGUUGAUUUCUG
This 1539-nucleotide long non-coding RNA is filed under the name Sarcophilus harrisii (Tasmanian devil). RNAcentral's name for it is "lncRNA (ENSSHAG00000023716.1)". The record is from RNAcentral. Lineage: Eukaryota; Metazoa; Chordata; Mammalia; Dasyuromorphia; Dasyuridae.